This 253-nucleotide ribosomal RNA is filed under the name uncultured bacterium. Its description in RNAcentral is "partial 16S ribosomal RNA". It matches the Rfam family "Bacterial small subunit ribosomal RNA", at positions 524 to 776 of the family's 1533-position model. The record is from RNAcentral.
UACAGAGGGUGCAAGCGUUGUUCGGAAUUACUGGGCGUAAAGCGCGUGUAGGCGGCGGCAUAAGUCGAAUGUGAAAUCCCUCAGCUUAACUGAGGAAGUGCAUCCGAUACUGUGUCGCUUGAGUGCCGGAGGGGAUGGUGGAAUUCCCGGUGUAGAGGUGAAAUUCGUAGAUAUCGGGAGGAACACCUGUGGCGAAGGCGACCAUCUGGACGGUGACUGACGCUGAGACGCGAAAGCGUGGGUAGCAAACAGG